Molecule: non-coding RNA, 48 nt
Filed under: Trypanosoma brucei brucei
Lineage: Eukaryota; Euglenozoa; Kinetoplastea; Trypanosomatida; Trypanosomatidae
Source: RNAcentral
AAAUAUACAUAACAAAUGAUGAGUGCGUAAAUGGCAGUGUGAGAUUAU